CUCAUAGCGUAUAUUUAAGUUGUUGCAGUUAAAAAGCUCGUAGUCGGAUUUUGGCUGAGAACGGUCGGUCCGCCGUUAGGUGUGCACUGACUGGUCUCAGCUUCCUGGUGAGGAGGUGUGCUUCAUCGCCACUUAGUCACCGUGGUUACUUUGAAAAAAUUAGAGUGUUCAAAGCGGGCUUACGCUUGAAUAUAUUAGCAUGGAAUAACACCAUAGGACUCCUGUCCUAUUUCGUUGGUCUCGGGACGGGAGUAAUGAUUAAGAGGAACAGUUGGGGGCAUUCGUAUUUCAUUGUCAGAGGUGAAAUUCUUGGAUUUAUGAAAGACGAACUUCUGCGAAAGCAUUUGCCAAGGAUGUUUUCAUUGAUCAAGAACGAAAGUUGGGGGCUCGAAGAUGAUUAGAUACCAUCCUAGUCUCAACCAUAAACGAUGCCGACUAGGGAUUGGCGGAUGUUAAUUGAUGACUUCGCCAGCACCUUAUGAGAAAUCAAAGUUUUUGGGUUCCGGGGGGAGUAUGGUCGCAAGGCUGAAACUUAAAGGAAUUGACGGAAGGGCACCACCAGGCGUGGAGCCUGCGGCUUAAUUUGACUCAACACGGGGAAACUUACCAGGUCCAGACAUAGUAAGGAUUAACAGAUUGAGAGCUCUUUCUUGAU
RNAcentral lists this ribosomal RNA (655 nucleotides) under uncultured eukaryote. RNAcentral describes it as "SSU rRNA". It matches the Rfam family "Eukaryotic small subunit ribosomal RNA", at positions 591 to 1266 of the family's 1831-position model. The record is from RNAcentral.